AUCUAUUUAGUUUAUUUUUAGAAUAAUAUUUUGAAAAGAUAUAGGAAUGUUUUAGAUG
RNAcentral lists this transfer RNA (58 nucleotides) under Gongylonema pulchrum. Its description in RNAcentral is "tRNA-Phe". The record is from RNAcentral. Lineage: Eukaryota; Metazoa; Nematoda; Chromadorea; Rhabditida; Gongylonematidae.